RNAcentral lists this ribosomal RNA (275 nucleotides) under uncultured prokaryote. RNAcentral's name for it is "partial 16S ribosomal RNA". It matches the Rfam family "Bacterial small subunit ribosomal RNA", at positions 524 to 798 of the family's 1533-position model. The record is from RNAcentral.
UACGGAGGAUCCGAGCGUUAUCCGGAUUUAUUGGGUUUAAAGGGUGCGCAGGCGGGAGAUUAAGUCGGCGGUGAAAUUUUGCAGCUCAACUGUAAAAGUGCCUUCGAAACUGGUUUCCUUGAGUGUAGAUGAAGUAGGCGGAAUUUGUGGUGUAGCGGUGAAAUGCUUAGAUAUCACGAGGAACUCCGAUUGCGCAGGCAGCUUACUAAACUACUACUGACGCUCAGGCACGAAGGCGUGGGGAUCAAACAGGAUUAGAUACCCGGGUAGUCCCU